UUAACGUCGUUUCUAUGACGGCUUUAAUCAAGGAGAGGAGGGAAUUGACACGAGGGAAUUACUUCUUUGUUUGGUGACGAUUUAAAUAAAAAUAAUAAAACAUAAUUUAAUAUUAAAAUGGAGGACGACGGAAAACAAAUGUCGCUUUACGGUAAAAGGAUUUUAACCCCACACGAAAAAAUGGGGUUGUGGAAAAAACAUAGUCUGGAGGACAAAUAACAUCAGCCGUAAGCAUCGUACGGUGGUUGGGGAAGGUUCACAAACCUGGCCUUCCGGCCUUCGAUACUGGAGCAGGCACGAGCUGGACGACUUCAUAGCGGACCGGAAGCACACCUUCCUUGGGGCUCGCAUCCGAUCCACUGUGGCUGACGUCAUACCCCCAUACGAGGGAUUUUCAACCGCGGAGAUGGCUAUGACGCCAAGAUGCACCGUGACGACCGGAAGAGCGUCAACAAGAUCGGUUACUCUUUUCAUGAUGAGGCGCGGCAGCGCACAGUUCCAUUGCUGUCGUCAUCUACAUACGGGCACCGCCUGGGCCAGCCUCUCGAUCCCUUUGCCCGCGGCCACGUGCGCGUUGAGAGGGCCGGCAAGGGGUUCUUACACACUAGGGGCACAGGGUUACCUCCCAUUGAGGACAUCUCGUUGAAAUGCAAACUUUAGAAGUGUUUUUAUUUCCUUAUUUUUCAUUUGCAUAAUCAUAGCUGUUACAAAAUGGUUUUGAUAUUGAAAUAUGAAUGUCAAUAAAGAUUUGCGAAAGAUGUCAAAUGGUAAUUGUUUAAUAUAUUCCCCUUUAAAUUAAAUAUUUGUGUUGCAUUUAACGUUUCUUCUCAAUGCCACGUUUCAAUAGUUUAGCUAGUUAAAUUAAGUCUUUGUUUAUUCAAACUGCUAAGUUUCAUUUAGUCUUCGUUGUUGGGUUAUGUAGUUAUGGAGUGGCCAUCAUUUCUAUAUCUGUGUAUGAAGCCGUUGUUAAAUACACUAAUACCUUGCA
Dreissena polymorpha is the source of this 988-nucleotide long non-coding RNA. RefSeq lists it as uncharacterized. Lineage: Eukaryota; Metazoa; Mollusca; Bivalvia; Myida; Dreissenidae. The record is from RefSeq and is a predicted model, not a curated record. The transcript is spliced from 4 exons.